AGAGUGAACGCUGGCGGCAGGCCUAAAACAUGCAAGUCGAGCGGCAGCACAGCAGUAGCAAUACUGUGGGUGGCGAGCGGCGGACGGGUGAGGAAUACAUCGGAAUCUACCCAGUCGUGGGGGAUAACGUAGGGAAACUUACGCUAAUACCGCAUACGACCUGAGGGUGAAAGCAGGGGAUCGACAAGACCGUUGCGCGAUUGGGUGAGCCGAUGUCCGAUUAGCUAGUUGGUGAGGUAAAGCUACACAAGGCGGCGAUCGGUAGCUGGUCUGAGAGGAUGAUCAGCCACACUGGAACUGACGACGACGGUCAGACUCGUACGGGAGCAGGACAGGU
Molecule: ribosomal RNA, 337 nt
Filed under: uncultured soil bacterium
Lineage: Bacteria
Description: bacterial SSU rRNA
Rfam family: Bacterial small subunit ribosomal RNA
Source: RNAcentral